This 497-nucleotide ribosomal RNA is filed under the name uncultured bacterium. RNAcentral's name for it is "partial 16S ribosomal RNA". It matches the Rfam family "Bacterial small subunit ribosomal RNA", at positions 28 to 507 of the family's 1533-position model. The record is from RNAcentral.
GAUGAACGCUGGCGGCGUGCCUAAUACAUGCAAGUCGAGCGAACGGACGAGAAGCUUGCUUCUCUGAUGUUAGCGGCGGACGGGUGAGUAACACGUGGAUAACCUACCUAUAAGACUGGGAUAACUUCGGGCAACCGGAGCUCAUACCGGAUAAUAUUUUGAACCGCAUGGUUCAAAAGUGAAAGACGGUCUUGCUGUCACUUAUAGAUGGAUCCGCGCUGCAUUAGCUAGUUGGUAAGGUAACGGCUUACCAAGGCAACGAUGCAUAGCCGACCUGAGAGGGUGAUCGGCCACACUGGAACUGAGACACGGUCCAGACUCCUACGGGAGGCAGCAGUAGGGAAUCUUCCGCAAUGGGCGAAAGCCUGACGGAGCAACGCCGCGUGAGUGAUGAAGGUCUUCGGAUCGUAAAACUCUGUUAUUAGGGAAGAACAUAUGUGUAAGUAACUGUGCACAUCUUGACGGUACCUAAUCAGAAAGCCACGGCUAACUACGUG